This 559-nucleotide small RNA is filed under the name uncultured bacterium. RNAcentral describes it as "bacterial LSU rRNA". The stretch from base 446 to 559 matches the Rfam family "Bacterial large subunit ribosomal RNA", at positions 1 to 114 of the family's 2925-position model. The record is from RNAcentral.
UCUGGAGUCCGCGAGACCGCUCGGUCGGCCGCAACGAGACGAAAGUCAGAUGAGGGACGUGAUAACGGGAUGCCACAAAGGGGCAUCGUUAUACCGGAAACCGUUACAGACCUGAGGCGAAAGACAAAAGAGACAAGGACUGUUUAUGGUUCUGUACUGCUUCUGAGAUCUAUUGAUAAGGGGGAUUAGCUCAGCUGGCUAGAGCACCUGCUUUGCAAGCAGGGGGUCAACGGUUCGAAUCCGUUAUUCUCCACACGAGAGAACAUUGACAUACUGGAAGAAAGGAAACGUCAACUGCAAGACGGAAGUCUUCGGAAGACGUGACCGAGAAAAUAAACGAGUAAAUCAGAAACGAGCGAUCGGGCGACCUAAAAAAAAGGUAAGUUCGAACGACGAAGCGACGGACGGCGGAGUUGAAAGAUUCCGCAGGUCAAGCGACAGAACAAGGAAAGGAGAAAAGGGCACAUGAAGGAUGCCUAGGCUCUUGGAGACGAAGAAGGACGUGACAAGCUGCGAAAAGCCGCGGGGAGGGGCAAAUGCCCGUUGAUCCGCGGAUUUC